CGGUAUGAGAGAAGGGAUUUCCGGUAUAGGUGGUGGGGGCAGGAAAGGGUGGGUGCAUCACAAACAAGAAAUGGAAGAAACGGCUAGCUUUUCCACAAGAAAAUUGAAACACUGAAGCAAAGAAUGAUAGAGACACAUGAGAAUUAUGACAAGUUAUUAGAGAAAGUAAUGAAUUACAGGUUAGCAUCACCACAAAAAAAUUGAAAUAGC
Molecule: long non-coding RNA, 210 nt
Organism: Octopus sinensis (East Asian common octopus)
Lineage: Eukaryota; Metazoa; Mollusca; Cephalopoda; Octopoda; Octopodidae
Exons: 3
Source: RefSeq, a predicted model, not a curated record